RNAcentral lists this ribosomal RNA (1341 nucleotides) under Triticum aestivum (bread wheat). RNAcentral describes it as "partial small subunit ribosomal RNA". The record is from RNAcentral. Lineage: Eukaryota; Viridiplantae; Streptophyta; Magnoliopsida; Poales; Poaceae.
AUGGAGCUGCGGUUCAUGUCGGUGUGGAAGAAUCGACCUGUGCACAACGUGGAACUCGUGAGCCAGAAGAUCCAGGAGCGCGCCUGUCACCUCUUCGUCGUGGGGCGAGAAUUCUCUGAACCCGCCGCCGCCAGCUUGGUGGCAUGUGGAUUUCAGUGCAUCGCCAACGAGGCCGCUUUGGCUUGCGAGCUGCUGACACGUGGGGCUGAAGCCACCGACGUGGAGAUCAAACUAUGCAACUGCAUCCGCCAGUGCGCGCUGAGUCUUAUGUACAUGACAGGGCCGCGUUCCGAUGCCUCCGCUGCUGCUAUGGUGGAUGGUUUCAAGGGUGUUGCCAAGGAGGCCAGAAGGAUGUGUGAGUGGAUGAGGAAUGCAAACCAACUGUAUGCUUUCCAAGGUUACUCUGAAAUCCACAAGAUGGGUCACUGCGAUGAGAUCCGGAUUCCCACCUUUCAUCUUUUCAAGUAUAUACUUACAGGGCAAUUCACAAGUUCUUCAAUGGGAAAAAGAACCGUUUGUGCUUAUGGAUUUUGUAAAGAAGAGGGACAAGACACAAGCAUGAACAUCAAAGAACUAUUUGUCACAGCUAGUAUUAUCUCCAUUUGGUUGGAAGCUCAGGACAAAAUUCAUACAAGAGAUACAUUGGCAAAAGAGGCAGCACCUUCUGAUGUGUUUCACCUUUGGGCGCGCCAUGUUGCAUUGCUAUUGCUUGGUGCGGGGCCAUUCUUGAGUGAUCGAGACAAUGGGCUCGUUUGCAACACAGCCGACGGGAGAGGACAAUCACCACUGCUGUCGCGGAACCGACCGGACGCGACGACCGGGACCUACCAGGCCCCUACUGACCCGGCCGGACCCAAAAGGAUCCAGACAGCCCCUGCCUCCACGCUGCAACUCGCCGGCCGACGAAGCCGCCACCGCCAGCAGAUCCCUGCCUCCUCGCCACCACCACCAGGGAGCAGCACCACGCGAGUCGACCUGCCCCAACCCAGAUGGAGCCCGAAAGGGCCCAAAUAUGGGCCGCGCGGGCGCCGUUGGCUACUAGUACCACUGCGCAGCUGCAUCAAGGGCAUCCGAGGCCCGCGGGAUCUCCGUCACCGGCCGAGAAGCACCGCCGCCAACAGGAGGCCCCCGCGCCCCCUACCGCGCGCGGGGAAAGACUACCCUAUAAUCGCCAGCAUCACGGGCAAGGGCCCGGCGGACCACGCCGGCGGCGGUGGCAGGGGAGAAUGGCCGGGAGGGGAUGGAGGAGAGGGAGCCGGGGAUGUUCGCCCAUCGCUCCCGCGGAUAACAUCGUCUGACACGGUCUGUGUCUCCUGCGUCGGUGCUGUUGGUAGAGUGUGA